Molecule: ribosomal RNA, 1078 nt
Filed under: Escherichia coli
Lineage: Bacteria; Pseudomonadati; Pseudomonadota; Gammaproteobacteria; Enterobacterales; Enterobacteriaceae
Description: partial 23S ribosomal RNA
Rfam family: Bacterial large subunit ribosomal RNA
Source: RNAcentral
CCAGUACCGUGAGGGAAAGGCGAAAAGAACCCCGGAGAGGGGAGUGAAAUAGAACCUGAAACCGUAUGCGUACAAGCAGUGGGAGCCUACUUUGUUAGGUGACUGCGUACCUUUUGUAUAAUGGGUCAGCGACUUAUAUUCAGUGGCGAGCUUAACCGAAUAGGGGAGGCGUAGCGAAAGCGAGUCUUAAUAGGGCGUUUAGUCGCUGGGUAUAGACCCGAAACCGGGCGAUCUAUCCAUGGGCAGGUUGAAGGUUAGGUAACACUGACUGGAGGACCGAACCGACUACCGUUGAAAAGUUAGCGGAUGACCUGUGGAUCGGAGUGAAAGGCUAAUCAAGCUCGGAGAUAGCUGGUUCUCCUCGAAAGCUAUUUAGGUAGCGCCUCAUGUAUCACUGUAGGGGGUAGAGCACUGUUUCGGCUAGGGGGUCAUCCCGACUUACCAAACCGAUGCAAACUCCGAAUACCUACAAGUGCCGAGCAUGGGAGACACACGGCGGGUGCUAACGUCCGUCGUGAAAAGGGAAACAACCCAGACCGUCAGCUAAGGUCCCAAAGUCAUGGUUAAGUGGGAAACGAUGUGGGAAGGCUUAGACAGCUAGGAGGUUGGCUUAGAAGCAGCCACCCUUUAAAGAAAGCGUAAUAGCUCACUAGUCGAGUCGGCCUGCGCGGAAGAUGUAACGGGGCUCAAACCAUGCACCGAAGCUACGGGUAUCACCUUUUGGUGAUGCGGUAGAGGAGCGUUCUGUAAGCCUGUGAAGGUGAGUUGAGAAGCUUGCUGGAGGUAUCAGAAGUGCGAAUGCUGACAUGAGUAACGACAAUGCGAGUGAAAAACUCGCACGCCGAAAGACCAAGGUUUCCUGCGCAACGUUAAUCGACGCAGGGUUAGUCGGUCCCUAAGGCGAGGCUGAAAAGCGUAGUCGAUGGAAAACAGGUUAAUAUUCCUGUACUUCCAGUUAUUGCGAUGGAGGGACGGAGAAGGUUAGGCCAGCCUGGCGUUGGUUGUCCAGGUUUAAGGUGGUAGGCUGAAAUCUUAGGCAAAUCCGGGAUUUCAAGGCCGAGAGCUGAUGACGAGUUGC